This 864-nucleotide ribosomal RNA is filed under the name uncultured organism. Its description in RNAcentral is "bacterial SSU rRNA". It matches the Rfam family "Bacterial small subunit ribosomal RNA", at positions 22 to 859 of the family's 1533-position model. The record is from RNAcentral.
GCUCAGAAUGAACGCUGGCGGCGUGCAUAACACAUGCAAGUCGAACGAGAAAUCCGCCUUCGGGUGGGAGAGUAAAGUGGCGCACGGGUGAGUAACGCGUGGGUAACCUGCCCCUGAAUUCGGGAUAACUCCGCGAAAGCGGUGCUAAUACCGAAUGUCGUCACAGGGACCGUGGUCCCUGGGAUGAAAGGUGACCUCUCCAUGGAAGUUGCCGUUCGGGGAGGGGCUCGCGUACCAUUAGCUUGUUGGUGGGGUAAUGGCCUACCAAGGCUACGAUAGUUAGCUGGUCUGAGAGGAUGAUCAGCCACACUGGCACUGAAACACGGGCCAGACUCCUACGGGAGGCAGCAGUGAGGAAUUUUGCGCAAUGGGGGAAACCCUGACGCAGCAACGCCGCGUGAGUGAAGAAGGCUUUCGGGUCGUAAAGCUCUGUCAAGUGGGAAAAACGACUUCCCGUUAACAGCGGGAAGGCCUGAUGGUACCACUGGAGGAAGCACCGGCUAACUCCGUGCCAGCAGCCGCGGUAAUACGGAGGGUGCAAGCGUUGUUCGGAAUUACUGGGCGUAAAGAGCGUGUAGGCGGCAAGGUAAGUCAGGCGUGAAAGCCCUGGGCUUAACCCGGGAAGUGCGUUUGAAACUGCCUCGCUCGAGUAUGGGAGAGGAGAGUGGAAUUCCCGGUGUAGAGGUGAAAUUCGUAGAUAUCGGGAGGAACACCCGUGGCGAAGGCGACUCUCUGGACCAAUACUGACGCUGAGACGCGAAAGCGUGGGGAGCAAACAGGAUUAGAUACCCUGGUAGUCCACGCCGUAAACGAUGAGCACUAGGUGUAGCGGGUAUUGACCCCUGCUGUGCCGUAGCUAACGCA